RNAcentral lists this ribosomal RNA (264 nucleotides) under uncultured archaeon. RNAcentral's name for it is "partial 16S ribosomal RNA". It matches the Rfam family "Archaeal small subunit ribosomal RNA", at positions 717 to 982 of the family's 1478-position model. The record is from RNAcentral.
AGUCACUGACAUUAGAUACCCGUGUAGUCCAGGGUGUAAACGCUGCAGACUUGGUGUUGGAGGCCCUUUGGGGGCAUUCAGUGCCGGAGAGAAGUUGUUAAGUCUGCUACUUGGGGAGUACGUCCGCAAGGAUGAAACUUAAAGGAAUUGACGGGGGAGCACCGCAACGGGAGGAGCGUGCGGUUUAAUUGGAUUCAACACCGUAAACUCACCAGGGAAGACUGUUACAUGAAGGCCGAGAUGAAGACUCUGCUAGAUUUUCAG